GGCAUCACCUGGGCACACUGUCUCUCCAGGGCACCUCCCUACCCUGGCUGGGCCUCCACUUUCCCUUCUCUAAUAUGGGCACUCAGGGCCCGGGGUCAUCUUUUCUGCAGGAAGCUCACCCACCAGACUCCCACAUUGCCUAGCAGCUGGGGUUGGAGCCCAAGGCUUCACUCUCCUCUCCCCACCACCCCAUGCUAGGCCCAAGGGCAGCACCACAAAGGGGCACUGCCAGGCGCCUCCACCCCAGACACUUGUGAGGGCUCCAGGACACCAGGUCUGGCACAUUCCCAUCCUGGGGACCUAACAGGCUAGCAGGCGAGGCAGACAGUUGGCCAGUUAGCUCCAGUCCUAGGUAGAUGGAGAAUGGCCUUUCCGAGAGGUCCCAGCAGGAGGAUGUGACAAUGGAGGGACAAAGCAGAGGCUUCCGGCCCUCGCUGGUCUCCUGUGCUCCAAGACAUCUUCCACAAAGGAUUUCCUGGACUCCCCCCCAACACUUGUGCAAAGCCAAGUCUACUCUGGGUAAGGAAGACAUGAUUCCCACCAAGCAACAGUGAGGGCCUCCCUCUCCUAGCACUCUAGAUGCAAAGCUGUUGGCCAACAUCCCUCAGUAAACGGAGGACAUAGAAAACAAUGUCAGCUCCUGGCACUGCAGACUCCCUUGCUCUAGGCAUGGAUUCUUCUGAUUUCAGAGACUGUUUCCAGCAUAAUGGUCCCUCACGCUACCCCUUCCAUGGCCUCUGACCAUCAGCCUUCCAAAUCUAAAGGUGAACAUUUAUUCUUUCCCCCAAACCAUCCCGUAGCAACUGAGCCUGCUGAGACCUUGAUUCAGCCAUCUCUUCUCCCUCAAGGGCACAACUGAUCAGCAAGCCUUCUAUGUAUUCAUCCUGGUUGCAUAUUUAGAAAAUAAAUGGACCGGCCAAUCACAGAGGCCUGCCCUUUAGGCUGCUGCUGAACCUCACUCACUGGGGUGUGGCUGCAGAAGCUACCAUCUGAACCACAUGCAUCCACCUUGUCCAUGAGGACAUUGUGAGAUUUCACCCAGUAUCUUCUGGAAUCCAGGUGAUGCGGCCGGCCAACAGCACGUCUUGUACUACUAACCAGUCACCCUGCUGGAAGAGGAACUGGGGUGGAUGGAGUGCUUUUCAAA
Homo sapiens (human) is the source of this 1147-nucleotide long non-coding RNA. The record is from Ensembl. NCBI's taxonomy places the organism in Eukaryota, Metazoa, Chordata, Mammalia, Primates, Hominidae.